AUUUGCAUGUGAAGUUGUGAACAAAAAUUUCAAGUGUGCUUCAGAUCGAUGGCUAAAAAUGUAAACUCUUUAGAAAUUGUCGUUAAUUUUAUAAAUCAGUAUUUACGCAGGUUGAAAAACACUAGAUUCACAACAAAAAUGUUGGCGGAACCUGAAGUUUCAGCUGUUCCACACGUUUGCUGUAAAUCUAGAACACCACCAAGGCUGCUUUGUAGGAGACACACUGAAUAUUUCCAUAGUUCGAGACGAUGUUUCAUCAAUUUUCCGGGAAGUUCGAAUUUGGACAGACGAAAACAGUUUAAUGGAAGAAAAUUAGUUGGAUUCUCCAUGCAACAAAUGUACGAUGUUGUCUCCGAUGUCGAACACUACAAAGACUUUGUGCCCUUCUGCAAGAAAUCACUAGUUCACCGGAGAACAGCUGAUCGACUAACAGCUGACCUCAUUAUCGGUUUCCCGCCAAUUGUCGAAAGCUACACAUCACAUGUUACAUUAGUGGCGCCCAACGUGGUACAUGCCGAAUGCAAAGACGCAACACUUUUCGACCACCUAGUGACCAGCUGGAAGUUCACGCCGGGUCUCAGCAACCAUCCGCUGUCCUGUGUCAUCGAGUUCCAGAUUUCAUUUGAAUUUAAAUCGUCGUUACACUCACAUUUGGCCAAUUUGUUCUUCAAUGAGUUGGUGAAACAGAUGGAGAAAGCUUUUUAUAGUGAGGCAGUUAGACGCUAUGGGAAACCAUCGAUUCCUUCUAUUAAACUGAAACUUUUGGAUAGUAGAAGGGCAUAGGAUAGGUUAGGUAACAUCAAAAUAUUUUGUGAAACAGAUUGAGAAAGUGUUCUAUAGUGAGACAGUUAGAUGCUAUGGGAAACCAUCGAUUCCUUCUAUUAAACUGAAACUUUUAGAUAGUAGAAGGGCAUAGGUUAGGUUAGGUAACAUCAAAAUAUUUUGUGAAACAGAUUGAGAAAGUGUUCUAUAGUGAGGCAGUUAGAUGCUAUGGGAAACCAUCGAUUCCUUCUAUUAAACUGAAACUUUUGGAUAGUAGAAGGGCAUAGGAUAGGUUAGGUAACAUCAAAAUAUUUUGUGAAACAGAUUGAGAAAGUGUUCUAUAGUGAGGCAGUUAGACGCUAUGGGAAACCAUCAAUUCCUUCUAUUAAACUGAAACUUUUGGAUAGUAGAAGGGCAUAGGAUAGGUUAGGUAACAUCAAAAUAUUGAAACAGAUGGAGAAUGUGUUCUAUAGUGAGGCAGUUAGACGCUAUGGGAAACCAUCGAUUCCUUCUAUUAAACUAAAACUUUUGGAUAGUAGAAGGGCAUAGGAUAGGUUAGGUAACAUCAAAAUAUUUUGUGAAACAGAUUGAGAAAGUGUUCUAUAGUGAGGCAGUUAGACGCUAUGGGAAACCAUCAAUUCCUUCUAUUAAACUGAAACUUUUGGAUAGUAGAAGGGCAUAGGAUAGGUUAGGUAACAUCAAAAUAUUGAAACAGAUGGAGAAUGUGUUCUAUAGUGAGGCAGUUAGACGCUAUGGGAAACCAUCGAUUCCUUCUAUUAAACUGAAACUUUUGGAUAGUAGAAGGGCAUAGAAUAGGUUAGGUAACAUCAAAAUAUUGAAACAGAUUGAGAAAGUGUUCUAUAGUGAGGCAGUUAGACGCUAUGGGAAUCCAUCAAUUCCUUCUAUUAAACUGAAACUUUUGGAUAGUAGAAGGGCAUAGGAUAGGUUAGGUAACAUCAAAAUAUUGAAACAGAUGGAGAAUGUGUUCUAUAGUGAGGCAGUUAGACGCUAUGGGAAACCAUCGAUUCCUUCUAUUAAACUGAAACUUUUGGAUAGUAGAAGGGCAUAGGAUAGGUUAGGUAACAUCAAAAUAUUGAAACAGAUUGAGAAAGUGUUCUAUAUUAAGGCAGUUAGACGCUAUGGGAAACCAUCGAUUCCUUCUAUUAAACUGAAACUUUUGGAUAGUAGAAGGGCAUAGGAUAGGUUAGGUAACAUCAAAAUAUUGAAACAGAUUGAGAAAGUGUUCUAUAUUAAGGCAGUUAGACGCUAUGGGAAACCAUCGAUUCCUUCUAUUAAA
This 2059-nucleotide unclassified non-coding RNA is filed under the name Nilaparvata lugens (brown planthopper). RNAcentral's name for it is "coenzyme Q-binding protein COQ10 homolog B, mitochondrial, transcript variant X1". The record is from RNAcentral. Lineage: Eukaryota; Metazoa; Arthropoda; Insecta; Hemiptera; Delphacidae.